Molecule: ribosomal RNA, 406 nt
Filed under: uncultured bacterium
Lineage: Bacteria
Description: partial 16S ribosomal RNA
Rfam family: Bacterial small subunit ribosomal RNA
Source: RNAcentral
AUUGAACGCUGGCGGCAGGCCUAACACAUGCAAGUCGAACGAGUGGCGGACGGGAGAGUAAUGUCUGGGAAACUGCCUGAUGGAGGGGGAUAACUACUGGAAACGGUAGCUAAUACCGCAUACCAUCAGAAGUUACCAGAUGGGAUUAGCUUGUUGGUGGGGUACCGGCGCACCAAGGAGACGAUCCCUAGCUGGUCUGAGAGGAUGACCAGCCACACUGGAACUGAGACACGGUCCAGACUCCUACGGGAGGCAGCAGUGGGGAAUAUUGGACAAUGGGCGCAAGCCUGAUGCAGCCAUGCCGCGUGUAUGAAGAAGGCCUUCGGAUUGUAAAGUACUUUCAGCGGGGAGGCGUUACCCGCAGAAGAAGCACCGGCUAACUCCGUGCCAGCAGCCGCGGUAAUUC